AGGAAAAGUUGUAACAAGAUACAGGGCUAAGGUAUGAAAAGGAAGAUGACGAUUACAAAAAAGAAGAUUAGAAAGCAGGCACCAUACUACACGGUGUGUAACCAAACCUCCAUUAGGGGGUGCAGGGACUGUUUCGCUCAAUGUAGAAGCAUUUUGAACUUGUCAGUGAAUUUCCUUUUACAUUGCUGGACUGUUGGAUCAAUGUCGCUGAACAUCGAACCAUUUCUUGUUUUCCAAAUACUCCAGGUCAUAAGGAUUAUUAUUUCCAUGGAGGACGGAAGCGCUAGUCUGUUC
RNAcentral lists this long non-coding RNA (294 nucleotides) under Setaria viridis. Its description in RNAcentral is "long non-coding RNA (SVIR_LNC008166)". The record is from RNAcentral. Lineage: Eukaryota; Viridiplantae; Streptophyta; Magnoliopsida; Poales; Poaceae.